RNAcentral lists this long non-coding RNA (1168 nucleotides) under Brachypodium distachyon (stiff brome). RNAcentral describes it as "long non-coding RNA (BDIS_LNC002890)". Lineage: Eukaryota; Viridiplantae; Streptophyta; Magnoliopsida; Poales; Poaceae. The record is from RNAcentral.
UUUCUCCAGGGUGCACGAAGACCCCUAGCUUCUCCCAUCAAGCACUGCUGCUCCUCCUGCCUCCGUGCGGCCGCGCUGCUGCUGUUGCUUCCCGCCGCUGCCCGCCCUGCUCCGUCGCCCCCAAGACCGCCUCCCUCUGCCGCCCUGCCGUUCCUCCACCUCGCAGCAGCCGACCGUGAAGGAUUCGCCCUCACGCUGGACCAUCGCCUGCCUGUAGCCAUGGAUGCCGGCCUGUCCUGGGUGCCUGGCGGGUAAUUUUUCCCCAUGAAUUGCUUGUAGUAGAGUCUCUAAUGCAUGUCAAUAGGCCCGUCACUAAAGGUUCAAUGUGAAAAAAAAUACAAAAAUCACAAAAACACACAUCAGUGGCGGGCUCUAAAUCUGGGCCCGCCACUGAUGACCCCUGGAGACCCUUAAAGACUGAAAUAAUCAUUACUAAUUCAUAAAAAAUCAGAAAAAUGUGAUUCUUUUUGCUUAAGUCUUAUUUUUUCUUGCUUAACAUGAUGGAACAAUAAUAUCAUAUCUUAGCAUUUGAAAAAUGAACUAUGUAGUACAAACUUGUUAUUUUCCACACUUCAAGUUUAUGGUUUGUGCCAAAUGACAGAAAUUUUGUCCAUUUCUAUGCCAUAGUUCAUGAUAAUGUAUACUUUUUUGCAUAAAGGUGCAUCUUGUCAUGACAAACAAUAUUGCCAAAGAGUUCUACAAAUUUUUGGUUAUAAAAAAUGAUUUUCUAUUUUUGAAAUGCAAAAAAGGGGUAUUUUGUGAAGCAAGUACACUUAAUAUGGUUCCAAAUGGCCUUUAUCCAAUUUUCACACAAACUUGAACAUUAUUAUAAACUUGUAGACCAAUUUAGUUAUACAAAAUAUUUAUAUAUUAUAUGAAACAGAAAAAUAAAAAAAAUAUCUUGUAUGGCCUCAUCAGUGACGGGCUAUAAAUUCAUGCCCGCCACUAAUGCCUUUUCUAGGGGCGCCGGCCAACCCAUCUAAGGCCCAACCCAAUCCUUAGGCUAUAAAAAUCCCUAGGCUAACCCUAAUCCCCACCCACUCCCUAACUCUCUCCCACUGUCGCCGCCACCACCUCAUUUCUCUCCCUCGAACUCCCUCUCCCACUGCUAUCCCUUUGCUCUCUCUUCCCCGUCUCUCUUUUGCUCGUCCCCACCGCGAGCCCGGCC